Molecule: ribosomal RNA, 270 nt
Filed under: uncultured archaeon
Lineage: Archaea
Description: partial 16S ribosomal RNA
Rfam family: Archaeal small subunit ribosomal RNA
Source: RNAcentral
CUGCAGCUCGAGUGGUGAUCGUUAUUAUUGGGCCUAAAACGUUCGUAGCCGGUUUAGUAAAUGCCUGGGUAAAUCGUGUAGCUUAACUAUACGACUUCCGGGUAGACUGCUAAACUUGAGACCGGGAGAGGCUAGAGGUACUCCUGGGGUAGAGGUGAAAUUCUGUAAUCCUAGGGGGACCACCAGUGGCGAAGGCGUCUAGCUAGAACGGGUCUGACGGUGAGGGACGAAGCCCUGGGGCGCAAACCGGAUUAGAUACCCGAGUAGUCC